Molecule: long non-coding RNA, 1399 nt
Filed under: Sus scrofa (pig)
Lineage: Eukaryota; Metazoa; Chordata; Mammalia; Artiodactyla; Suidae
Description: lncRNA (ENSSSCG00005016596.1)
Source: RNAcentral
GCAUAAGGAAGCUCCCAGGCUAGGAGUCAAAUCAGAGCUACAGCUGCUGCCACAGCCACAGCAAUGCUGGAUCCUCAACCCACGGAGAGAGGCCAGGGAUCCAACCCACAUCCUCACGGAUACUAGUUGGGCUCGUUACCACUGAGUCACAACAGGAACGUCUGAGAACACAGCUUAAAGCAACUCUAGCUUUAAAUCCGGUCUCCACAGGGGGCCAGGAGGAAGCUGAAAGGGGAUCUCCUCAUCCUGGUGGGGGGCCUGGUAUAAAGUGAGUGGUCCCUAAGGGGUCACUGAAGGAAAAUUCCGUGUGUCUGGCCCUGGCUGGGUGCUGGGACGGGGCUUGGAAAGGGAGAGCUUGGCCUGGCAGGGGUGUUGUUUUGGUUUGGUUUGGUUUUUGCUUUUUAAUAGCUACUCGUGUGUCUGUCUGCCUCUUACAUAGAGCCAAUGAAAUACAUUCUCCUCCUCCUCUUCCUCCUUCUGUUCUCUUAGAGUGGCAGAUUUUAACCUCGCUUUGACUCAGCCGCUCUUCAGGAAUCUGACGAAGGGUGGGAAGCCUUUCCUCAGAAGACGGUCCACACGCCCACCACCUGCAGGCGACUUCAGAGCCCACAGACGCUCUGCAGUCGUUCAGGGCCAGCCCCACAGGUCAAGAACCCUGGCCCACGUCUGCGGAGAGGGCAGCGGGUGUGGUCACGGCUCCGGGCUGUGGGAGCUGUGACACAGGAGGUGUCCUUGGUCUGGUCUGGGCCACGGAGCAGGGGGCCGUGAUCCGAGGCCUGUGGCUGUGUCUCCACACCCGACUCCCCUCCAGUUUCUUUUCCCUCAUAUUGGAAGGGACACCUGAGGAGGCCUUUGCAGAACCGGGCCUUAGGCAAGGCCUGGGGCUACAGGAAAAGCAGACCUGGCCUUGCUCUGAAGAUGCCACCGCUUGGUGGAGGGACAUGAAACACACCCAAAAGUGGGCAUAAAAUUCCAGCCUGUCCUGAAUUCCCUGGCGGCCUAGUGGUUAAGGAUCUGGCGUUGUCACUGUCGUGCACAGCUUCCAUCCAUCCCCAGCCUGGGAAAUUCCGCAUGGGCACGGCCCCCCAAAGAAGUUCAGCCUGUCUCACAGUGAGCCCAAAGCUGCCCCUUCCCCUUCUCCCCUCCCAUUCUGUCGCUGCCCAGCAGACCGCCUUCCUCACCCCAUGCCCACAGCCAGGCUGUCACCAGGCAGUGCCACUUCUUCCUGUUCUGCCCACCCCUGCUGCUGGCCUCUCACCAUGGCCCCCCCUUACCUACCUUCCCGCCUGCUGGCCUGCCUGGGUCUGGCCCCCUCGUCCGUCCAUCCCACCACAUCGAAAACGCACGUCUGACCACACAUGCUUACGGAACCCUAUGUGUCACGCCCAGGGCCUGGUUC